This 253-nucleotide ribosomal RNA is filed under the name uncultured bacterium. RNAcentral's name for it is "partial 16S ribosomal RNA". It matches the Rfam family "Bacterial small subunit ribosomal RNA", at positions 524 to 776 of the family's 1533-position model. The record is from RNAcentral.
UACGAAGGGGGCUAGCGUUGCUCGGAAUCACUGGGCGUAAAGGGCGCGUAGGCGGCCUUCUAAGUCAGACGGGAAAUCCCCAGGCUUAACUUGGGAACUGCGUCUGAUACUGGGAGGCUUGAGUGCGGGAGAGGGAUGUGGAAUUCCAGGUGUAGCGGUGAAAUGCGUAGAUAUCUGGAGGAACACCGGUGGCGAAGGCGGCAUCCUGGACCGACACUGACGCUGAGGCGCGAAAGCUAGGGGAGCAAACGGG